GACUCCGUAGCUCAGGGGAUAGAGCAACGGCCUUCUAAGCCGUUGGCCGCAGGUUCAAAUCCUGCCGGGGUCACCA
This 76-nucleotide transfer RNA is filed under the name Campylobacterota bacterium. RNAcentral describes it as "tRNA-Arg". It matches the Rfam family "tRNA". From Rfam's summary of the family: Transfer RNA (tRNA) molecules are approximately 80 nucleotides in length. Their secondary structure includes four short double-helical elements and three loops (D, anti-codon, and T loops). The record is from RNAcentral. Lineage: Bacteria; Pseudomonadati; Campylobacterota.